GUUUCUUGUGCUCGGCAAUGCGAACAUUCAAUGGCAAUACGAUGGCAAUAUUGAUUUUAAACCUACUUUGGGUUUGCCAAACAUAGCUUCGUAAGGACUGCGAUCGAUGCCGGAGUGGCAGGCAUUCAGGAAUAUGUUCGAUAUGCUCAGGAAAGGUGGUUGAUGCAACCCUGGAUAGACUAGCAAAACAUCCAGAAUGGAAACAGUAUGGCCCUGAAAAAUUCAUAUCUCCAUAUUACUACAGCCCCAAUCCCCGCCAACAAUGGGAAAGUGAUUUGAGCGAAGCUGGUUUCAAAUGUUACGAACUGUUAGAAGAUAUUGGAAAAUAUGAAUAUGUAGAUGAAAACGAGUAUGAUAAUAUAUAUCAAUGUACUUGCACAAUUCUGCCUACUAUUCCCGAACAAGAACAAAAAAGGUUUUUGAAAAUAUACUUGGAUUCAACUAAGGAUGGGAAAAAUAAUAGUGUGGAAGUUCGAAAUGGCAGAAGAAUUCUCACCACCAAUUAUGAAAUGUUCAUUGCUAGUGCAACAAAAAUAUAAAUCAUGUCCAAUUUUUUAAUAAACGGUAUCUUCAAAACUGA
Leptinotarsa decemlineata (Colorado potato beetle) is the source of this 580-nucleotide long non-coding RNA. NCBI's taxonomy places the organism in Eukaryota, Metazoa, Arthropoda, Insecta, Coleoptera, Chrysomelidae. The record is from RefSeq and is a predicted model, not a curated record.